This is a long non-coding RNA of Lolium perenne, 1364 nucleotides long. RefSeq lists it as uncharacterized. The record is from RefSeq and is a predicted model, not a curated record. Lineage: Eukaryota; Viridiplantae; Streptophyta; Magnoliopsida; Poales; Poaceae.
ACUGAGGUAUGUACACUAUUUUUUGUUGCUACAAUGAACACACCGUCAUUUUAUUUUAUGUCCACUCAUUAGCUCAGAUCUGGGUGACUGCAGUUUAUGUUAAUGCAUCGCCUUUUCGCCAUUUUCCCAACAUAUUGGAUUAGACCUCUUGGUUAGGUUCAUAUGUUCAGCAUAGGUUACUUCAGCUUUCUAUGAUAUAACCAUUUGUUUGAUGCAUUCUUUAUUUUUGUUUUUCUAGGUUCCGGUGCAUGCCAAGCUACGCCACGAGUAUCUCCAGCAGCCAGUGGGUCGUGCUUGUGCACGACAAGCCGCCGCUGCAGAGGAUGGUUUCACGGUGUUUCUAAUUCCUUCUUGAUUAAACAACAGUACUCAGUUCAACAUGAUCUUGAACAUUAGAAAUAUUUAACCUUUCAAUGUUGCCUCACUCCCUUGCAUAACAUCACCGAGACACAUCUUCUAUAUGAUAAGGCUAUAAAUUUUCGUAUAUGUUUCACUAUGUGCUCAAUAUAAAUUGGCUGACAGAACAAACAAUUUGUUUUGUACUUACAUAGAUAUAAGUUGGAAGUGGAGCAGAACCUUGACACGGUGCUUAGGUUCUAGAAUGAAUUUGUUUGUGGGGGCAGAAAGAUGUGUAGCCAGCUGUAAGAAGAUGAUCAUCAAGUCUGGGAAGUGGCAAAAGUAUGUGGUAUGUACUACAUGCAUGCAGAAAUAAAAUUCAUUGACUAUUUAAGCUUCUCUGAUUCGUUUGUUAUUUCUGAUGGAACAUAAAAAUACUUCAAAAAAUGACUAUAAUUUGCGCUGGACAUAAGGUUGUGAUGAAAAGGAACUUGCGGGUGACGGAUGCUAGGUGUUCUAUUUUUCUUACAAGAUCGGAGUUUAUUCUCUGUUGCAAUGUUGCUUUGAGGAGUAGAAUUAUUGGAGUGAAGUGUUCUGUUGAGUGGAUUGCUAAAAGAAGGGCAGUGAUUUGAGUCUACAAAAAAGGAGCCUGCUACUGUGGCUUAUCUGUAUAAGAUCAUACCGCACAAAGCAGUAAUAAUAAGUGGUUUAUAGGAUUUGUUUUCCUAAACUAUGAUCUAAUUUGUGGAACACGAUCUUUUUGCUCCAAGAUUACUGACCAGGCUAUGGCACCAAAAGAAGUCCGUCACCUCCCAGACUUGAUGAUCAUCUUCUUACAGCUGGCUCCAAGAUUACGAUCUUUUUGCUCCAAGAUUAAUUUGUGGAACACGAUCUUUUUGCUCCAGAAGGAAGUGGUACAGUUUGUAUGUCUUUUUUUUCUUCUUUUGACUUAGAAGAGGUUGGGUCGACAAUCUAUCAGUACGACAGUGUAUCUUGAUAUGGAACAACAAACCCAUGUUUCUUUUGUA